CUCCGCCCCGCCGCCGCCCCUCGGAAAAUAAUAAACAAUCGAGUAAAAUGCGGCGCGGGGCGGGGGUCCGGGCGGGCUCCGCGCCCCCUCCCCGGAGUUGCCCCUCGCUCCGGGCCCUGCCUGCAGCCCUGCCGCCAGAAAAGCCUUUCCUCUAGGUGCUGCGGCGCUCGCACGGAAAUUGCCUCAGCCAGAAGGAACUGGGUAACUGCUGACUCAGGAGCUGCAUCAAGUCGGAGGAAUGGGAAGGGGCUCGUGUUUCCCGAGU
RNAcentral lists this long non-coding RNA (265 nucleotides) under Zonotrichia albicollis (white-throated sparrow). RNAcentral's name for it is "lncRNA (ENSZALG00000000313.1)". The record is from RNAcentral. Lineage: Eukaryota; Metazoa; Chordata; Aves; Passeriformes; Passerellidae.